GGGAAGGUGUCGGGGAGCGGUCACGGUGCUUCUGGCAUGAGGAACUGGGAGGCCGGAGAUGCCAUUUGUCAAACCGGACGACAGAGCAGGAGCGAGUGGAGGUUUUAGAUGCCUGCGGGACAGGCGGGCGGGGCAGCCAGAUUCUUUCCACCAUGGCCAGACGCCCCCGGAACAGCAGGGCCUGGCACUUCGUCCUGAGUGCAGCCCGCCGAGACGCAGAUGCCCGGGCCGUGGCUCUAGCAGGCUCCACUAACUGGGGCUACGACUCUGAUGGGCAGCACAGCGACUCGGACUCCGACCCCGAGUACUCCACGCUGCCGCCAUCCAUCCCCAGUGCAGUGCCCGUGACCGGCGAGUCCUUCUGUGACUGUGCUGGGCAGAGCGAGGCCUCCUUCUGUAGCAGCCUGCACUCGGCCCACCGGGGCAAGGACUGCCGCUGUGGAGAGGAAGACGAGUGUGAGCGUGGGGCCCAGCCCCUGCUGGGACUGCACUGCGGGCGGGCCUGGGGGCGGGCAGGGCAGAGCCCCAUGGAGCUCUCAGGGCUGCCCCAGCCUGGGCCUCUCUUGCAGAUUUCGACUGGGUCUGGGAUGACUUGAAUAAGUCAUCAGCCACCCUGCUGAGCUGUGACAACCGUAAGGUCAGCUUCCACAUGGAGUACAGCUGCGGCACAGCGGCCAUCCGGGGCACCAAGGAGCUGGGGGAGGGCCAGCACUUCUGGGAGAUCAAGAUGACCUCUCCCGUCUACGGCACCGACAUGAUGGUGGGCAUCGGGACGUCGGAUGUGGACCUGGACAAAUACCGCCACACGUUCUGCAGCCUGCUGGGCAGGGAUGAGGACAGCUGGGGCCUCUCCUACACGGGUGCGUGAGGCCCAGGGUGGGGCGGGGCCGAGCCUGGAGCUCCCGGGCUCACUGCGACCCUGGCUGCCCCCAGGCCUCCUCCACCACAA
RNAcentral lists this small RNA (949 nucleotides) under Pan troglodytes (chimpanzee). RNAcentral describes it as "retained intron". The record is from RNAcentral. Lineage: Eukaryota; Metazoa; Chordata; Mammalia; Primates; Hominidae.